GACGAACGCUGGCGGCGUGCUUAACACAUGCAAGUCGAACGAUGAAGUUCCUUCGGGAAUGGAUUAGUGGCGAACGGGUGAGGAACACGUGAGAAACCUGCCUUUCAUUUUGGGAUAUCUCCGGGAAACCGGGGCUAAAACCGAAUACUCCGUCUCGGCGGCAUCGCUGAGCCGGGAAAAAAUUUUGAUGAAAGAUGGUCUCGCGGCCUAUCAGCUAGUUGGUGAGGUAAUGGCUCACCAAGGCAACGACGGGUAGCCGGCCUGAGAGGGCGACCGGCCACACUGGGACUGAGACACGGCCCAGACUCCUACGGGAGGCAGCAGUGGGGAAUAUUGGGCAAUGGGCGCAGGCCUGACCCAGCGACGCCGCGUGAGGGAUGAAGGCCUUCGGGUUGUAAACCUCUUUCAGUAGGGAAGAAGCGAAAGUGACGGUACCUAAAGAAGAAGCACCGGCUAACUAUGUGCCAGCAGCCGCCGUAA
This 480-nucleotide ribosomal RNA is filed under the name uncultured bacterium. Its description in RNAcentral is "partial 16S ribosomal RNA". It matches the Rfam family "Bacterial small subunit ribosomal RNA", at positions 28 to 523 of the family's 1533-position model. The record is from RNAcentral.